GGAAGAUGAGAGGAGAGGAUGGGAGGGAGGAGUAACAAAAGUGAAAACAAAAACUAAAAACUGAAAUCUAUUUCAAAUUGUUUUCACUUUCAAGAUUUUGUUUUCACUUUUGUUACUCCUCCCUCUCAUCUUCCCCUCUCACCCUCUCU
RNAcentral lists this microRNA precursor (149 nucleotides) under Prunus dulcis (almond). RNAcentral describes it as "sRNA ncRNA". Lineage: Eukaryota; Viridiplantae; Streptophyta; Magnoliopsida; Rosales; Rosaceae. The record is from RNAcentral.